RNAcentral lists this ribosomal RNA (495 nucleotides) under uncultured bacterium. RNAcentral describes it as "partial 16S ribosomal RNA". It matches the Rfam family "Bacterial small subunit ribosomal RNA", at positions 28 to 507 of the family's 1533-position model. The record is from RNAcentral.
GACGAACGCUGGCGGCGUGCCUAAUACAUGCAAGUAGAACGCUGAAGGAGGAGCUUGCUCUUCUGGAUGAGUUGCGAACGGGUGAGUAACGCGUAGGUAACCUGCCUGGUAGCGGGGGAUAACUAUUGGAAACGAUAGCUAAUACCGCAUAAGAGUAGAUGUUGCAUGACAUUUGCUUAAAAGGUGCAAUUGCAUCACUACCAGAUGGACCUGCGUUGUAUUAGCUAGUUGGUGGGGUAACGGCUCACCAAGGCGACGAUACAUAGCCGACCUGAGAGGGUGAUCGGCCACACUGGGACUGAGACACGGCCCAGACUCCUACGGGAGGCAGCAGUAGGGAAUCUUCGGCAAUGGACGGAAGUCUGACCGGGCAACGCCGCGUGAGUGAAGAAGGUUGUCGGAUCGUAAAGCUCUGUUGUAAGAGAAGAACGAGUGUGAGAGUGGAAAGUUCACACUGUGACGGUAUCUGACCAGAAAGGGACGGCUAACUACGUG